GACGAACGCUGGCGGCGUGCUUAACACAUGCAAGUGGUGCGACGAACCAGGGCUUGCCCUGGGGCCAAGCCGCGAACGGGUGAGUAACACGUGAGUAACCUGCCCCGAUGACCGGGACAACCCGAGGAAACUCGGGCUAAUACCGGAUGUGGCGCACAAUCGUAAGUUUGUGCGCUAAAGGAAGCUUCGGCCUCCGCAUUGGGAGGGGCUCGCGGCCCAUUAGCUUGUUGGUGGGGUAACGGCCUACCAAGGCAACGAUGGGUAGCUGGUCUGAGAGGACGAUCAGCCACACUGGGACUGAGACGCGGCCCAGACUCCUACGGGAGGCAGCGGUGGGGAAUCUUGCGCAAUGCGCGAAAGCGUGACGCAGCAACGCCGCGUGGGGGAAGACGGCCUUCGGGUUGUAAACCCCUUUCAGGAGGGACGAAGGUUCACCGGUGAACAGCCGUGUGGAUUGACGGUACCUCCAGAAGAAGCUCCGGCUAACUACGUGCCAGCAGCCGCGGUAAUACGUAGGGAGCAAGCGUUGUCCGGAAUCAUUGGGCGUAAAGCGCGCGUAGGCGGCCUCAUAAGUCCGUUGUGAGAGUCAAAGGCUCAACCUUUGAAAGCCGAUGGAUACUG
This 621-nucleotide ribosomal RNA is filed under the name uncultured bacterium. Its description in RNAcentral is "bacterial SSU rRNA". It matches the Rfam family "Bacterial small subunit ribosomal RNA", at positions 28 to 635 of the family's 1533-position model. The record is from RNAcentral.